This 482-nucleotide ribosomal RNA is filed under the name uncultured organism. Its description in RNAcentral is "bacterial SSU rRNA". It matches the Rfam family "Bacterial small subunit ribosomal RNA", at positions 30 to 507 of the family's 1533-position model. The record is from RNAcentral.
AUUGAACGCUGGCGGCAUGCUUUACACAUGCAAGUCGAACGGUAACAGGCCUUCGGGCGCUGACGAGUGGCGAACGGGUGAGUAAUGCAUCGGAACGUGCCCAGUCGUGGGGGAUAACGCAGCGAAAGCUGUGCUAAUACCGCAUACGAUCUAUGGAUGAAAGCGGGGGACCGUAAGGCCUCGCGCGAUUGGAGCGGCCGAUGUCAGAUUAGGUAGUUGGUGGGGUAAAGGCCCACCAAGCCAACGAUCUGUAGCUGGUCUGAGAGGACGACCAGCCACACUGGGACUGAGACACGGCCCAGACUCCUACGGGAGGCAGCAGUGGGGAAUUUUGGACAAUGGGCGCAAGCCUGAUCCAGCAAUGCCGCGUGCAGGAAGAAGGCCUUCGGGUUGUAAACUGCUUUUGUACGGAACGAAACGGUCUGGGUUAAUACCCUGGGCUAAUGACGGUACCGUAAGAAUAAGCACCGGCUAACUACGUG